Long non-coding RNA from Passer domesticus (house sparrow), 3209 nucleotides. RefSeq lists it as uncharacterized. NCBI's taxonomy places the organism in Eukaryota, Metazoa, Chordata, Aves, Passeriformes, Passeridae. The record is from RefSeq and is a predicted model, not a curated record. The transcript is spliced from 2 exons.
CACAAGAUGUGUCAUCCUGGGAGGGACACAGCCGGCUCGCCCCAGCCCCGUCGGUGGCAGCAAAUCCCCCGCAGCACUGGGGAUGUUCAAAGAAGAUAAAAAGUAAAACCAAGCCAACAACACAAACACGCACACCCAUCCCAGUGAAGGCGGUGGGCAAGGGCUAAAGACAAAGAGGGAGCCAGGUCAGAAAGACAAUUGUCGUUUCUGAUUUUGCCUUUGUGAUUUCUUCACUUUCCAUACAACAUUCAGGUGUGCUGUUGGCAGCGGCGGUAAGUCCCACGUCAUAACCUUCCUGAAAUUUUUCCACCGGUCGGUACAAUUCGAACACUCGUUCUUCUUUAAAGAGAAAUAAAAGAAAAUUUAAAAGUCAUCCCCAAACUCGUGGAAUUAAGGUUCUACCAGGAUUUACACUUCCAAACAACCAUCGGGCAGUAUCCCGACACCAAAAGCCCCGCCGCAGGGAGUGCUAAUUUUUCCUAAGGAUACCUUCCCCAUUUUAGGGAAAGCGGGCUAAUAACUUAAGUUUGUGAAGUCACAUGUAGCUUUAAAUAGGCAUCAACAUUAACAAUCACGAACCUCGCGAUAAUAGCUCUUAAAUACCUCGCUAAUAGCCCCCACGUGGAAAGAAAUCCCCAAGUGUUAUAAAUUCAGUUUAACGACCAGAAAACCUCCUGGGCAGCGGUGAAAUACGAAAACUCCUUUCUCUGAGUUCCCUGUCUUUGAUUUAUUUUUAACUAGGCGCUCAUGGGAACGCGGCGCUGGAAAAUCACGUCCAGAUGUACCUAAAGAGGCGCUUUCUCUGCUGAAAACCUCUCUCCUAAGGGGAGUGAAGAAAAAAAAAAAUCUUUAAAGUAGUUUGAAAUUUGGUUUUGCCGUGGAUCUAAUCGUAAAAAGAAGGGGCAAAGCAGCGGCUGCGUUCGGUGCAGAGACGCUCAGCGAGGAGGGAGCGGCUCUGAAAAUAGAGCGCAGGGGAGACGUGCUCCUCUAGGGCAGCCUGUACCGGGUGGAGGGGAGGCAGCUCAGAGCCCAGGGCUGUUCGCUGGUCUCCUUCGGUGCUUUGGGAGGAUGCCCGGGUUUGCCCGGAGCCGGGCGGGCUGCGCGCAGGCGGUGCCGGCCCCUCCGCGCCGCAGCCCCUGCUCCUUCGGUGAAGUAUCACAGAUUUGGCUGUGAGAGUGGGUUUGCGGGAGGAGGCGAGAUAAACGGCCCUGAGAAAUGCAGGGGUUUUUCCCAGGGAGUAUCUGUACCUGAUGCCUAAGUCAUCAGUGGGAUUUGCCUGUUGCAGUACUGUCAAGCUGGUUUGAGGUUAGCUGUCCUCAGAAGAAGCAUGGAGUCUCAAGUUCCGCAGCCACUACCCUAGACAGAAAAAAAAGGAAAAAAACCCAAAAGAUUCCUAUCCCAGAUUUGUGGGAAGAGCAACAAAACAAGCAAGCAGAUGCUUCUACUUUCUAUUUACAAGAUUUCAGAAGAAUGCCAGGCCUGACAAUCCAUACUGUAUGUAGAAUAUCUCUAGGAGCUCCUUUAUCAUGGUGUAUCCUGUCAGCUGAUUCAGCUCAGUGAGUCAUCAACAGUUAAACUAUGCUCUUAAGUUCUGGAAGACAAAUUUUCUUAUUGGAAUUGAAGCACAGCCACAGAGUGAGGGCUCUUGCACUCCUUGCUAACUAGGGGGUAGACUAGGUUGAGGAAUUCUUGCUAAAAUUUUCCAUCAUAAGAGGCUAAUUAAAGCCAGAAAAUGAAACGAGACUGGAUCCAAGAUCUUCUGAGUGUGAAAUCUGUCAUUGUGUUCUAGAGAUUUUUCUCUCCAUUUUCAAUAUGUCUGUUUCAUUGCAUUUCUUCUUCUCACACUUGUUUAUUACACUGGUUUCAAGUUCGUGCUAAUGAAGCUCCUUAUCAGAUUGAUUGUUCCUCUAUUAUGAUGAGUUUCUCUGGAGGCUGUCUGAUGCAUCCUCCUGCUCAAAAUGCUCAGAACAAGUUGCUGAAUAGUUAAAUGAAUUUUUCUGUAUUUCAGUUUUUACCUACUGUGUCUUUUCACUGGACAUCACUGUGUGCAGCUCCAUCUUCUUCACUAUCUUUUCUCACAGGAGUGUUUUUUACACAUUAUAAGAUUUCCUGGAGCCUUCUCCAGGCUGAACAGUUCCAGAUCUCUCGGCUUCUCAGAGGAUCAUCAAAAUUGGAAAAAAACUUUAAGAUCAUCCAGUCCAACUGCCAGCCCAGCACUGCCCUUGUAACCCCUAAACCCCAUCACCCACUGUCAGAACCAGAGGUCUCUUAAGAACCUUCAGGUGUAGUGACAGCUCUUUCAGCCCCUUAAUUAUCUUUGUGGCACUCACACCAAUAAGGUCAUGUCUCAUCCUGGGGAGCCCAGACCCGGAUCCAAUGCUCCAGACAUAUCCUGCUAUUGUUGGGCUGAAAGGAAUGAUCACCUCCCUUCACCUGCUGGCAAAUUCAAUUUUAGGAUCAUGCUUUGGCAUGCUCAGAAUCUCUGAAUUCCUCCUAAGUCAUCUGUUCUGGCUUCUUUUUUAAUUUCUUCAGGAGCUCCUUAUUCAUCCAUAGAUGUCUCCCGUAGCUUUUGUUUAAUUUUCCACAUAUUGAGUUGGACUGUUCUUAAGGUUGAAGGAGGCUGAAAAUCAGCCAGCUCUCCUGGGACUCUUAAUUCUUAUUUCUUAUUUUCCAAGAGCCGAGAAAAGUCCAUGGGAUUUUGACAAACAGGUACCUGAAACAGCCAGAGCCUGUGGGUUGUUAUCCUGCCAGUUGUUCUUUUCCUUCCCAUGAGGGCCUUCAACUCCACAAUUUCAUGGUUGCUGCAACCAAGACUGCCUUCAGCCCUCUCAUCCAUGAACAGCCCUUCUUCAUUGGCAAGGAUGAGAUUCAGAAGGCUGUCUCCUUCCACCUGUCCCUUCAACAGGAGGGUGUCAAGAAGUUAUCAUUAAUGCAUCUUGAAAGCAGACAGGGUCCCUUGUACCCUGUUGUGUUGCCCUUUUGGCAGUUUUUGUAGUAGUUAAACCCAACUAUGAGCACUUCAUAAUAAUAAAUUAUUAAAUGAAACUAUUGUAAGAAUAAAUUAUUAAAAAAACCUAAAGAGCAGAAAUGUGGUCCUUAUUCAAACUGAUAUUUUAAGUUUCAACUUGCCUAAGUGGAGAUAAUGAACUACUAAAUGGAAAUUAACAUGUUUUCUGUGGUGAAAAAUAGACACAAUUCAAAGGAAAGCU